UUAAAUAUUCCCAAGGAAAUGAAGAAGUAGCAUCAGAAACAAAAAUGUUCGCUUUGUUGUAUUAAAAGUGUUCAUUCCUAAGGGAUGUCCCCUCAGAAUAUCUAGAAGAUUCUUUCAGACCAGAUUUGAGAUAUAAAAAAGGCAGUCAGCUGGGCGUGGUGGCUCACACCUGUAAUCCCAGCACUUUAGGAGGCUGAGGCAGGCAGAUCACGAGGUCAGGAGUUCAAGACCAGUCUGGGCAACAUGGUGAAACCCCGUCUCUACUAAAAUACAAAAAAUUAGCUGGGCGUGGCUGCAUGCGCCUGUAGUCCCAGCUACUCAGGAAGCUGAGGCAGGAGAAUUGCUUGAACCCAGGAGGAGGAAGUUGCAGUGAGCUGAGAUUGCGCCACUGCACCCCAGCCUGGGCGACGAAGCAAGACUCCGUCUCAAAGAAAAGGCAGUCACAGGACACAAGGAAUAAAACGGAAUUACUGAACUAUUACCAUGUACCAGCAGUGUUCUCAUUAUUUUCACCCACAUUCAGUGAUUUAACCCUCAUCUCCAUCCUGUGAGAUAUAGCUAUUGUUAGCUUCACUUUAUAAGUAACAAAGCCAACACUGGCUGGGCGCGUUGGACUCUGAAUUCAGGUCCAACCAAUUUAAUGGGGCUGUUAGAAAUGUUAAUGUACGCCAGGUGCGGUGGCUCACACCUGUAAUCCCAGCACUUUGGGAGGCAGAGGCAGGCAGAUUGCCUGAACCCAGGAGUUCAAGACCAGCCUGGGUAACAUAGCAAGACCCUGUCUCUACAAAAAGAAAAGAGAAAAAACAGCAGCCAAAGCUUAGAGGGGUUAUGUGCCUAGUUUGGAGUCACACACAGCUAGCUGGGAAUCUAAUCUGGGUCUGUCGAACUCCAAAGCCCUUCCUCUUUCUUCUUACUCAGCUCUCUCCCUCUGGUUAUCUUUAGGCCUUGGAUUACCUAUGUGAAUGUUUCUCUGCUUGUAAAUACCACUUGGUCUGUGACCUUACUCUAAGCAUAAAUGGAGGGAAAAGAAGAAUUAGACUAACAAAUACGUUCAGCUCCUAAACACCCUCAAGUUAGUAUAGAUUUCAGAAUCAGAAGACUUGGAUUUCGGACACAUUAGUCUUUCUGAAUGUAUUUUCCCUUCUCUCUUCUACCUGCCUCACAAGAUUAUCACAAGGAUCAAAUAAGACUGUUGGGAAAAACUCCCUUGAUCCUACUUUUUUGGAUUCAGGUGUCCUGUGCCCUGUUCUAGACCUUAUCUCAGUAGGUCUUGUUCGAUUUUGCAGGUUGUACAUCCUGGAGACCUGAAGAAUUCUGUUGAAGUCGCACUGAACAAGUUGCUGGAUCCAAUCCGGGAAAAGUUUAAUACCCCUGCCCUGAAAAAACUGGCCAGCGCUGCCUACCCAGAUCCCUCGAAGCAGAAGCCAAUGGCCAAAGGCCCUGCCAAGAAUUCAGAACCAGAGGAGGUCAUCCCAUCCCGGCUGGAUAUCCGUGUGGGGAAAAUCAUCACUGUGGAGAAGCACCCAGACGCAGACAGCCUGUAUGUGGAGAAGAUUGACGUGGGGGAAGCUGAACCACGGACUGUGGUGAGCGGCCUGGUACAGUUCGUGCCCAAGGAGGAACUGCAGGACAGGCUGGUAGUGGUGCUGUGCAACCUGAAACCCCAGAAGAUGAGAGGAGUCGAGUCCCAAGGCAUGCUUCUGUGUGCUUCUAUAGAAGGGAUAAACCGCCAGGUUGAACCUCUGGACCCUCCGGCAGGCUCUGCUCCUGGUGAGCGCGUGUUUGUGAAGGGCUAUGAAAAGGGCCAACCAGAUGAGGAGCUCAAGCCCAAGAAGAAAGUCUUCGAGAAGUUGCAGGCUGACUUUAAAAUUUCUGAGGAGUGCAUCGCACAGUGGAAGCAAACCAACUUCAUGACCAAGCUGGGCUCCAUUUCCUGUAAAUCGCUGAAAGGGGGGAACAUUAGCUAGCCAGCCCAGCAUCUUCCUCCCUUCUUCCACCACUGAGUCAUCUGCUGUCUCUUCAGUCUGCUCCAUCCAUCACCCAUUUACACAUCUCUCAGGACACGGAAGCAGCGGGUUUGGACUCUUUAUUCGGUGCAGAACUCAGCAAGGGGCAGCUUACCCUCCCCAGAACCCAGGAUCAUCCUGUCUGGCUGCAGUGAGAGACCAACCCCUAACAAGGGCUGGGCCGCAGCAGGGAGUCCAGCCCUACCUUCUUCCCUUGGCAGCUGGAGAAAUCUGGUUUCAAUAUAACUCAUUUAAAAAUUU
RNAcentral lists this small RNA (2267 nucleotides) under Pongo abelii (Sumatran orangutan). RNAcentral's name for it is "processed transcript". Lineage: Eukaryota; Metazoa; Chordata; Mammalia; Primates; Hominidae. The record is from RNAcentral.